RNAcentral lists this transfer RNA (63 nucleotides) under Branchiostoma lanceolatum (amphioxus). Its description in RNAcentral is "tRNA-Ala". Lineage: Eukaryota; Metazoa; Chordata; Leptocardii; Amphioxiformes; Branchiostomatidae. The record is from RNAcentral.
UAAAAUCUGAGGAGACCACAUUUUUUGAUUGCAAAUCAAAUAGUUUAUUUAACUUAAGAUUUU